AUAGUAGGUCGGUUUGUCGCCGUUCAUUGUGUGUGAAAGGAGGAAAGUCCGGGCAACGUAGAGCGCCAUACUUCUUAACGGGAAGUUGUUCGUGAGAGCAAAGUAGUGUAACAGAAAAUAACCGCCAUGCCUUGUGUGUGGUAAGGGUGAAAAGGUGAGGUAAGAGCUCACCGGUUUGUUUGGUAACAAGCAGAGCCGUACGCCUUAUGGGUUGCAAGACCAUGUAUACCGACGCAUGUAGGGCUGCUCGUCCGAUGUCGGGGGGUAGGUUGCUAGAGGCAACAAGUGAUUGUUGUUGUAGAUAAAUGACAAACAUUUACGCAAGUAAAUACAGAACCCGGCUUAUAGACCUGCUAUUUUU
Molecule: RNase P RNA, 361 nt
Filed under: Bacteroidales bacterium
Lineage: Bacteria; Pseudomonadati; Bacteroidota; Bacteroidia; Bacteroidales
Also listed under: 1 other name
Description: RNase P RNA component class A
Rfam family: Bacterial RNase P class A
About the family: Ribonuclease P (RNase P) is a ubiquitous endoribonuclease, found in archaea, bacteria and eukarya as well as chloroplasts and mitochondria. Its best characterised activity is the generation of mature 5'-ends of tRNAs by cleaving the 5'-leader elements of precursor-tRNAs. Cellular RNase Ps are ribonucleoproteins.
Source: RNAcentral